CUCCGCUUGCGGGGGGAUCAGUGGCGAACGGGUGAGUAACACGUGGGCAACCUGCCCUCAGCUCUGGGAUAACUCCAAGAAAUUGGGGCUAAUACCGGAUAUGACUGCUGACCGCAUGGUCUGGUGGUGGAAAGAUUUAUCGGCUGGGGAUGGGCCCGCGGCCUAUCAGCUUGUUGGUGGGGUUGUGGCCUACCAAGGCGACGACGGGUAGCCGGCCUGAGAGGGUGACCGGCCACACUGGGACUGAGACACGGCCCAGACUCCUACGGGAGGCAGCAGUGGGGAAUAUUGCGCAAUGGGCGAAAGCCUGACGCAGCGACGCCGCGUGGGGGAUGACGGCCUUCGGGUUGUAAACCUCUUUCAGCAGGGACGAAGCGAAAGUGACGGUACCUGCAGAAGAAGCACCGGCCAACUACGUGCCAGCAGCCGCGGUAAUACGUAGGGUGCAAGCGUUGUCCGGAAUUAUUGGGCGUAAAGAGCUCGUAGGCGGUUUGUUGCGUCGGCUGUGAAAUCCCGAGGCUCAACCUCGGGUCUGCAGUCGAUACGAGCAAACUAGAGUGUUGCAGGGGAGACUGGAAUUCCUGGUGUAGCGGUGAAAUGCGCAGAUAUCAGGAGGAACACCGGUGGCGAAGGCGGGUCUCUGGGCAACAACUGACGCUG
RNAcentral lists this ribosomal RNA (660 nucleotides) under Blastococcus sp. I12A-02696. RNAcentral describes it as "bacterial SSU rRNA". It matches the Rfam family "Bacterial small subunit ribosomal RNA", at positions 74 to 748 of the family's 1533-position model. Lineage: Bacteria; Bacillati; Actinomycetota; Actinomycetes; Geodermatophilales; Geodermatophilaceae. The record is from RNAcentral.